AUCGAUGAAGAACGCAGCGAAAUGCGAUAAGUAAUGUGAAUUGCAGAAUUCAGUGAAUCAUCGAAUCUUUGAACGCACCUUGCGCUCCUUGGUAUUCCGAGGAGCACGCCUGUUCGAGUGUCAUGAAGCUCUCAAACAAGUCCUUUCUUUGCAAAGAGAUAGGGUUGGUUUGGAUUUGAACUCUGCCGUGUAACAAACGGCUGGUUCUAAAAGCAUUAGCUGAUCCUAGUCAAAGCUCGGUUCUACUUGACGUGAUAAUUAUCUAACGUCGAGGACAUUCCUUCAUUGGAAUGGCCAAGCUCUAAUGUGGAUCGCUUCUAAUCGUCUUCACAGACAAACUAAUCAUCAAUCUGACCUCGAAUCAGGUGGGACUACCCGCUGAACUUAAGCAUAUCAAUAAGCGGAGGAAAAGAAACUAACAAGGAUUCCCCUAGUAACGGCGAGUGAAGCGGGAUGAGCUCAAAUUUAAAAUCUGGUGUCCUUUGGGCAUCCGAGUUGUAGUCUAGAGAAGCAUUUUCCGUGUCGGACCAUGUACAAGUCUCCUGGAACGGAGCGUCAUAGAGGGUGAGAAUCCCGUUCUUGACAUGGACCCCCGAUGCUAUGUGAUGUGCUCUCAAAGAGUCGAGUUGUUUGGGAUUGCAGCUCAAAAUGGGAGGUAAAUUCCUUCUAAAGCUAAAUAUUGGCGAGAGACCGAUAGCGAACAAGUACCGUGAGGGAAAGAUGAAAAGCACUUUGGAAAGAGAGUUAAACAGUACGUGAAAUUGUUAAAAGGGAAACGAUUGAAGUCAGUCGCGUCUGCUUGGACUCAGCCUUACUUCGGUUUGGUGCAUUUCCUUGUAGACGGGCCAGCGUCAAUGUUAUCCGCUGGAAAAAGGUGUAGGGAAUGUGGCUCUUUCGGGAGUGUUAUAGCCCUAUGUCAUAUGCAGUGGUCGAUAUUGAGUGUAACAGCACGCUUUUAGUGGUGCUUGUGCUGGCGUAAUGGCUUUAAACGACCCGUCUUGAAACACGG
RNAcentral lists this ribosomal RNA (1009 nucleotides) under uncultured fungus. RNAcentral's name for it is "eukaryotic LSU rRNA". The stretch from base 352 to 1009 matches the Rfam family "Eukaryotic large subunit ribosomal RNA", at positions 1 to 664 of the family's 3401-position model. The record is from RNAcentral. Lineage: Eukaryota; Fungi.